This 1109-nucleotide ribosomal RNA is filed under the name Ruminobacter amylophilus. RNAcentral's name for it is "Bacterial large subunit ribosomal RNA". It matches the Rfam family "Bacterial large subunit ribosomal RNA", at positions 1263 to 2359 of the family's 2925-position model. Lineage: Bacteria; Pseudomonadati; Pseudomonadota; Gammaproteobacteria; Aeromonadales; Succinivibrionaceae. The record is from Rfam by way of RNAcentral.
GGAAGGUUGACUGGAGCUAUCAGAAGUGCGAAUGCUGACGUGAGUAACGAUAAUAUAUGUGAAAAACAUAUACGCCGAAAGACCAAGGGUUUCUGUCCAACGUUAAUCGGGGCAGAGUGAGUCGGUACCUAAUGUAAGGCUGAAAAGCGUAGCAGAUGGAUAUUCGGUUAAUAUUCCGAAACUAGGCAUUGAUUGUGAGGAAGGACGGAGAAGGCUAGUGCUGCUUACUGUUGGAAUAGUAAGUGGAAGGCGGUAGUUCCGGUGUGUACGAAGAAAAGGCACGCUGAAGGACGAGAGCCGAGAGGAUUACACUACGGUGUAAGAAGAGCAUGAUGCCAGGCUUCCAGGAAAAGUUCCGUACACGUUAAUUAAUGCUGGCCGUACCCGAAACCGACACAGGUGGUCGGGUAGAGAAUACCAAGGCGCUUGAGAGAACUCGGGUGAAGGAACUAGGCAAAAUAGUACCGUAACUUAGGGAGAAGGUAUGCUGAGGAGAUUGAGCAUCCGCGCGAUGUAAGGUUGAAUCAGUGACAGCAAAGAGGUGGCUGGGACUGUUUAACAAAAACACAGCACACUGCGAACACGGAAGUGGAAGUAUAGUGUGUGACACCUGCCCGGUGCCGGAAGGUUAAAUGAUGAAGUCAUCGCAAGAGAAGCUUCUGAUUGAAGCCCCGGUAAACGGCGGCCGUAACUAUAACGGUCCUAAGGUAGCGAAAUUCCUUGUCGGGCAAGUUCCGACCUGCACGAAUGGUGUAACCAUGGCCACGCUGUCUCCACCCGAGACUCAGUGAAAUCGAAAUCGCUGUGAAGAUGCAGUGUACCCGCGGCUAGACGGAAAGACCCCGUGAACCUUUACUAUAGCUUGACACUGAACAUUGAGUCUGUCUGUGUAGGAUAGAUGGGAGACAGAGAAGCGAGUACGCCAGUAUUCGUGGAGUCGGCCGGUGAAAUACCAUUCUGGGAGACUUGGUGUUCUAACCAAAUAUUAACAGAUAAUGGGACAGUGUCUGGUGGGUAGUUUGACUGGGGCGGUCUCCUCCUAAAGGGUAACGGAGGAGCACGAAGGUUGGCUAAUCACGGUCGGACAUCGUGAGGUUAGUGUAAUGGUA